GGAGAGAUGCCCGAGUGGCCGAAGGGGCGCGAUUGGAAAUCGCGUGUGCCCUCAAAAGGGGUACCAUGGGUUCGACUCCCAUUCUCUCCG
This 90-nucleotide transfer RNA is filed under the name Deltaproteobacteria bacterium. Its description in RNAcentral is "tRNA-Ser". It matches the Rfam family "tRNA". From Rfam's summary of the family: Transfer RNA (tRNA) molecules are approximately 80 nucleotides in length. Their secondary structure includes four short double-helical elements and three loops (D, anti-codon, and T loops). Lineage: Bacteria; Pseudomonadati; Myxococcota; Myxococcia. The record is from RNAcentral.